GUUCUGAAACCAGCGUCUCUGGUUGCAACCGAAGAGGUUGCUCAGUCACACUCCUGAAAGGCAAAAGGAGGUUGGCCAGUAAAAAAGAUGUAAACGCUAGAUGUAGUUCUUAGUGUGGAAGCCACAGGAGAGCUUCCAGUGUGGGCCACGGGGAUUGCCGAGGCUUUUAUGCAGGGGAGUUCAGCCUACACCCAGGAACGAACAAGGACAGCGUGGAGUUUAGAAGCAAGUGGACUUGGUUCAUCUGUUUCACUGGCUCAUAAUUUUGCAAGGGCGGUUUCAUCUGUACCCUGACAAUACCUUCUAGUUUUUUUACCCACUGGUGUUGAGACUUAAUUGAAGACCUCAGACGGACAGAAUACCAUGGAACCUGAGACCUUGAUUUGCGGGGACAGGUUUAAAGUAUAUUCUGGGGUUGGUGCCCCCACCCCAGGGGCCGGCUCAGAGGGCUCACUUUCCAGCCUAAUUUCAGGGGAACCAGAGGCUGCCGACCUGGAUCUCACCUUGACGGAGGUCUUGUCACCUUCCUCCUCGGCUGGAGAGGCAGACUGUGGAUGCUCUCCUGCUGGCUACCCAAAAACAAACAAAUAGACAAACAAAUAUGAAUGAGGAAAACCUGAAGAGGCCCCAUGUGCCGGAGGUGGGACAGCUUGAGAUUUGGUGAGGAUAAUUGCAGUGGCUCAAAACCCAUAAAGAAGUUUCAGUCCAUGAGUUCACCGUAACGUUAAAACAAACAAAAAAACAACAAAUUGAUCAUCUUUGGAGGCUAACAAUCAAUUCAUUAUCUUAGAGACAGACAGAGGCUCACUAGUGGCACGAUCUUGGCUGACUGCAUCUUCCACCUCCUGGGUUCAAGAGAUUCUUGUGCCUCAGCCUCCUGAGUAGCUAAGAUUACAGGUGUGCACCACCACGCCCAGCUAAUUUUUGUAUUUUUAGUAGAGAUGAGGUUUCACCAUGUUGGCCAGGCUGGUCUCGAACUCCUGACCUCAAGUGAUCUGCCCGCCUCGGCCUCCCAAAGUGCUGGGAUUACAGGCGUGAGCUACUGCGGCUGGCCACAUUUCCCUUCUGGUGCGCGUCCUCCUGUAGCUGCGGGAUCAGGGGAGGUAGAGAUGUCUUGUAACUGACUCAAGUUUGGCUGCUCGCCGCAGGAGAAGCGAGGUAUGGUGAAAGGAAAGCAACUUUUAUUCAUGUGUUAGCAGGUGGGAGAGUGGCUGGGCUCAAGGCUCCGAGGAACCAUCUCAGCUUUUUGGACUGAGUGAAGGGCUUUAGGAAGGAGAACUUGGUGUGGGAGACGUGGGAGUGGGGCAGUGGUGCAGGUGUCUUGAGUAAUUGCCCAUCCGGAGGUCUAGUUGGCAUCAUCUUGACCUUGGUCCGGUGGUGGUGGACUCGUUGUUCAUAACUCCCCUAGACAGGAGGAUUCCACAACUGGGUUCUAUGCCUGGUUUAUUUAAAAAUGAGCCCCUGGCAUUUCUAAGCAGGCACAAAGUGAGAUAAGUGAGCACUGUGGCUGGUGGGAAAGGGAGGGAAGCAGGUUUAAAGUAUGUUUCAAGGCUGCAUUCUGAGGCUAGGAGGGAAAGGAAGAAAAACUUUAAAAUGCUUCUCAAGGCUGAGAUAUUUGACUACAGUCUCAUGCCCAAAAUGUUUCUAUUCUGCGCUGAGACCUGAUAGAAAAUUUGGCUGCAUACAUGGAGUCCAGUGUGUGCGCCUGCCCCUCCCAUCCCAGACUCGCAGCCAGUGGAAAAGUCUGCAAAAGGAAGCCAGCUGGGAGUGCCCACCAGAGUCAAAGUCUGGGGUAGGCUGGUGGACUCAAGAGGAGUCUUAAAUAUUGGAAAUGUCAUCACAAACCAUUUGGGAAGCCCCCUUCUCUUAAAAAGGACAUGAAGUCAAAGUGAACAGCGGUGCUCACCCCAAGCCCAUGCCCACAACCACAGUGCCCUUGACAUUCAGAGUCAUGGCCACUGUCCACAAAAUUGUGACUUACAGUUUACAAAAUUGGGACAUAUUUACAUGUUGACUAAGUUGGGAAAUAAUUGGGUUUUCUUUAAAAGUAGUAAAAGUGAAGAAGAAAAAGUCAAAAAGGUCUAACAUCUAAGAUGGUGAAAUUUCCUUACUUUAGAUCACCAGUAAUCAGGCUGAUCCUGCUUGAGCCACAAGCUCCCUGGGACCCAGCAGCAGCUAUGCAUUGGUGCAUGGUGCCCUGCGUCUGAUCAGCUGACUCCUCAGGCAAAAUUUGCACCAUUUUCACCCGAAUUGCAGAUGUCCUCAGUGUCAUUACAAAGUUCCUAAGUCAUGACCAUUCUGUUCCUGUAGAGCCAGGCUGGAGUAAGCUCCCAUUUCUUUAAGCCCUCCUGUCCCCUGCAGGGACUUCCAAGGUUGAGCUGAUGAGCAAUAGUUAUGAGUCAUUGGAGGAGACAUCCCAGAGGCGCCAGCUCCCCCCUGCCCUAAACUGAAAUUAAGACCUGGUGCUCCGGGUGGGGCCCCUGGGAGGGGAUGUGCAACUCAGAGGGGACCUUCUCCACCUCCACCCCAGGAGACCCCAGAGGGACCAUGGCAGAGCUGGAGCCCUCUUUUAAAAGUCAAAUAAAAAUAAGCAAAAGAAGCCAAUCGUCUCUGUGAAAUGUCCAGAACAGGGAACUCUGUAGAGACAGAGAGGAGAUUAUUGGCUGCCGGAGGCUGGGAAUGAGAAGGUAAGGGGCCUGGGGAGGUGACGGUUAAAAGAUUUUUCUUUGUGGUGAUGAAAUUGUCUUACAAGGGACUGUGGUGAUAGUUGUGCAACUUGGUGAAUAUAUAAAGGUUAUUUAAUUGUACACUUUAAAUGGGUGCAUUGUAUGGUGUGUGAAACACAUCUCAAUAAAGCUGUUAUUUA
Molecule: non-coding RNA, 2866 nt
Filed under: Pongo abelii (Sumatran orangutan)
Lineage: Eukaryota; Metazoa; Chordata; Mammalia; Primates; Hominidae
Source: RNAcentral